AUUGAACGCUGUCGGCAGGCCUAACACCUGCCAGUCGAGCGAGCGGCGGACGGGUGAGUAAUGUCUGGUGCCUGCCCGAUAGUGGGGGAUCACUACUGGAAACGGUGGCUAAUACCGCAUACUAUCGGAUAACCCAUAUGGGAUUAGCUAGUAGGUGGGGUAAAGGGUCACCUAGGCGACGAUCACUAGCUGGUCUGAGAGGAUGACCAUCCACACGGGGACUGCGACAAGGCCCGGAAUCAUAGGGGGGCAGCAGAGGAGGAGGGUGCAAAAUGGGCGCAAGCCUGAUGCAGCCAUCCCUCAUGUAGGAAGAAGGCCGUAGGGUUGUGAAGUACUUGCAGCGGGGAGGCGUUGCCCGCAGAAGAAGCACCGGCUAAGUCCGUGCCAGCAGCCGCGGUAAUAC
Molecule: ribosomal RNA, 403 nt
Filed under: uncultured bacterium
Lineage: Bacteria
Description: partial 16S ribosomal RNA
Rfam family: Bacterial small subunit ribosomal RNA
Source: RNAcentral